GAUGAACGCUGGCGGCGUGCCUAAUACAUGCAAGUAGAACGCUGAAGGAGGAGCUUGCUCUUCUGGAUGAGUUGCGAACGGGUGAGUAACGCGUAGGUAACCUGCCUGGUAGCGGGGGAUAACUAUUGGAAACGAUAGCUAAUACCGCAUGACAACAGUUAUUGCAUGAUAACUGUUUAAAAGGGGCAACUGCUCCACUACCAGAUGGACCUGCGUUGUAUUAGCUAGUUGGUGAGGUAACGGCUCACCAAGGCGACGAUACAUAGCCGACCUGAGAGGGGGAUCGGCCAAACUGGGACUGAGACACGGCCCAGACUCCUACGGGAGGCAGCAGUAGGGAAUCUUCGGCAAUGGACGGAAGUCUGACCGAGCAACGCCGCGUGAGUGAAGAAGGUUUUCGGAUCGUAAAGCUCGGUUGUAAGAGAAGAACGAGUGUGAGAGUGGAAAGUUCACACUGUGACGGUAUCUUACCAGAAAGGGACGGCUAACUACGUG
This 495-nucleotide ribosomal RNA is filed under the name uncultured bacterium. RNAcentral's name for it is "partial 16S ribosomal RNA". It matches the Rfam family "Bacterial small subunit ribosomal RNA", at positions 28 to 507 of the family's 1533-position model. The record is from RNAcentral.